This 935-nucleotide long non-coding RNA is filed under the name Toxoplasma gondii VEG. Lineage: Eukaryota; Apicomplexa; Conoidasida; Eucoccidiorida; Sarcocystidae. The record is from RNAcentral.
CAUCAAACACGACUGAAUUCCACCGAAAAGCUCCUUCAUGGGUCUCUGUGUUUGUCUGCAAACGGCGGUACAUCAGCGACCCUCUGAAUCUGGUUCCGUUCAUUCUCGACGUUUUCUAUAGAUUGCCAGGAAACUAAGUGAGUGUGAAUGACGCCAGAAAAAACGGCCGUCCCGUUUUCAUGGCUGCCUGCGGACACGUCGACUGCCAUGCAAUCACCGUGAUGUGCUACAGGAGUUUUUUGAGGUGCUGGAAUUUCGGUGUGUUGGAAUGAGGACGCCGCGUAGCUCUGUGAAUCACUCCUUUACUGCAGAUGCGAGUGUACAUCGGCAGUGUUUUCGUCGAAUUGCCACGGCUGUGACCCGCUCGCACCCCGUGGGGGGAAACUUGAAGCGUAUUGCAGUGUUGUGAGUUCUUCCCCGAGCUGAUCUUCCGGAGGAAAUUUGAUUCUGAGUCCUCAGUGCAGAUGAGGGGACACAUGACUCUCCUGAGCAUAUUCUCGUAACUAGCGACACAUUUUUUGUGUGUGCUUGCACAGUUGUACGCUUUACUGAGCCCUCGAGCCGUUUCGUUUCUGCCCGCUCUUCCUCGCUUUUCUGUACUUUCUAAGAAUGCAGCGACGAUCAACUAAGAAUCGCGGAUUUUCCGCAGCAGUCGGAGACGAAGGCAGGACUGGAGUUUCUGAGGCGAGUUCACCGCCGCUGAUCAUGAGAGAAAGAGUCGGUCUUAUGCAAAUGGAAGUGGCGUACGAACCAGGAAUGUUUCGCUGUCUAGGCAUCCCCGUGAAAGCCACUCAUGUCAUGGCUUUCCUCCUCUUCGCAGUCGUUAUGUUGUGGAUUGUGAACACAAGACUCGCUGGCACCCGAAUUGAGUGAACAAACCGGUGUGAGUCAACUGUUUCACUUGCUCAUAAAAGAAAACCACAGGGGGUCCAGAG